RNAcentral lists this ribosomal RNA (433 nucleotides) under uncultured Lachnospiraceae bacterium. Its description in RNAcentral is "partial 16S ribosomal RNA". It matches the Rfam family "Bacterial small subunit ribosomal RNA", at positions 341 to 792 of the family's 1533-position model. The record is from RNAcentral. Lineage: Bacteria; Bacillati; Bacillota; Clostridia; Lachnospirales; Lachnospiraceae.
ACGGAAGGCAGCAGUGGGGAAUAUUGGACAAUGGGGGAAACCCUGAUCCAGCGACGCCGCGUGAGUGAAGAAGUAUUUCGGUAUGUAAAGCUCUAUCAGCAAGGAAGAAAAUGACGGUACUUGACUAAGAAGCUCCGGCUAAAUACGUGCCAGCAGCCGCGGUAAUACGGAGGAUCCGAGCGUUAUCCGGAUUUAUUGGGUUUAAAGGGUGCGCAGGCGGCUUUUUAAGUCAGUGGUUAAAUCGUGACGCUCAACGUCAUCACGCCAUUGAUACUGGAGAGCUUGAUUGCGGUCGAGGUUUGCGGAAUUCGUUGUGUAGCGGUGAAAUGCAUAGAUAUGACGAAGAACACCGAUUGCGUAGGCAGCAGACCAGGCCGUAAAUGACGCUCAUGCACGAAAGUGCGGGGAUCGAACAGGAUUAGAUACCCUGGUA